RNAcentral lists this ribosomal RNA (253 nucleotides) under uncultured bacterium. RNAcentral describes it as "partial 16S ribosomal RNA". It matches the Rfam family "Bacterial small subunit ribosomal RNA", at positions 524 to 776 of the family's 1533-position model. The record is from RNAcentral.
GACGUAGGAUGCAAGCGUUGUCCGGAUUUAUUGGGCGUAAAGAGUUCGUAGGCGGUUUGUUAAGUCUGAUGUUAAAGACUGGGGCUCAACCCUGGGAGUGCAUUGGAUACUGGCAGACUGGAGUGCAGUAGAGGCGAGUGGAAUUCCCAGUGUAGCGGUGAAAUGCGUAGAUAUUGGGAAGAACACCGGUGGCGCAGGCGACUCGCUGGGCUGUAACUGACGCUGAGGAACGAAAGCCAGGGGAGCAAAUGGG